Molecule: ribosomal RNA, 497 nt
Filed under: uncultured bacterium
Lineage: Bacteria
Description: partial 16S ribosomal RNA
Rfam family: Bacterial small subunit ribosomal RNA
Source: RNAcentral
GAUGAACGCUGGCGGCGUGCCUAAUACAUGCGAGUCGAGCGAACAGAUAAGGAGCUUGCUCCUCUGACGUUAGCGGCGGACGGGUGAGUAACACGUGGAUAACCUACCUAUAAGACUGGGAUAACUUCGGGAAACCGGAGCUAAUACCGGAUAAUAUAUUGAACCGCAUGGUUCAAUAGUGAAAGACGGUUUUGCUGUCACUUAUAGAUGGAUCCGCGCCGCAUUAGCUAGUUGGUAAGGUAACGGCUUACCAAGGCAACGAUGCGUAGCCGACCUGAGAGGGUGAUCGGCCACACUGGAACUGAGACACGGUCCAGACUCCUACGGGAGGCAGCAGUAGGGAAUCUUCCGCAAUGGGCGAAAGCCUGACGGAGCAACGCCGCGUGAGUGAUGAAGGUCUUCGGAUCGUAAAACUCUGUUAUUAGGGAAGAACAAAUGUGUAAGUAACUAUGCACGUCUUGACGGUACCUAAUCAGAAAGCCACGGCUAACUACGUG